CAGUCGAGCGAACAGAUAAGGAGCUUGCUCCUUUGACGUUAGCGGCGGACGGGUGAGUAACACGUGGGUAACCUACCUAUAAGACUGGAAUAACUCCGGGAAACCGGGGCUAAUGCCGGAUAACAUUUAGAACCGCAUGGUUCUAAAGUGAAAGAUGGUUUUGCUAUCACUUAUAGAUGGACCCGCGCCGUAUUAGCUAGUUGGUAAGGUAACGGCUUACCAAGGCAACGAUACGUAGCCGACCUGAGAGGGUGAUCGGCCACACUGGAACUGAGACACGGUCCAGACUCCUACGGGAGGCAGCAGUAGGGAAUCUUCCGCAAUGGGCGAAAGCCUGACGGAGCAACGCCGCGUGAGUGAUGAAGGUCUUCGGAUCGUAAAACUCUGUUAUUAGGGAAGAACAAAUGUGUAAGUAACUAUGCACGUCUUGACGGUACCUAAUCAGAAAGCCACGGCUAACUACGUGCCAGCAGCCGCGGUAAUACGUAGGUGGCAAGCGUUAUCCGGAAUUAUUGGGCGUAAAGCGCGCGUANGCGGUUUCUUAAGUCUGAUGUGAAAGCCCACGGCUCAACCGUGGAGGGUCAUUGGAAACUGGGAAACUUGAGUGCAGAAGAGGAAAGUGGAAUUCCAUGUGUAGCGGUGAAAUGCGCAGAGAUAUGGAGGAACACCAGUGGCGAAAGGCGACUUUCUGGUCUGUAACUGACGCUGAUGUGCGAAAGCGUGGGGAUCAAACAGGAUUAGAUACCCUGGUAGUCCACGCCGUAAAGAUG
Molecule: ribosomal RNA, 770 nt
Filed under: Staphylococcus cohnii
Lineage: Bacteria; Bacillati; Bacillota; Bacilli; Caryophanales; Staphylococcaceae
Description: bacterial SSU rRNA
Rfam family: Bacterial small subunit ribosomal RNA
Source: RNAcentral